ACACUAUGAUGGUUGCAUAGUUCAGCAGAUUGAUUGGUGAAGUUAUAUCAUUCGACUGAUGUGUCU
This is a small nucleolar RNA of Choloepus hoffmanni (Hoffmann's two-fingered sloth), 66 nucleotides long. NCBI's taxonomy places the organism in Eukaryota, Metazoa, Chordata, Mammalia, Pilosa, Megalonychidae. The record is from Ensembl.